UCCACCAGGAUUGGCAAGUUUGAGGC
Molecule: non-coding RNA, 26 nt
Filed under: Homo sapiens (human)
Lineage: Eukaryota; Metazoa; Chordata; Mammalia; Primates; Hominidae
Also listed under: 1 other name
Source: RNAcentral